This 795-nucleotide ribosomal RNA is filed under the name uncultured bacterium. Its description in RNAcentral is "bacterial SSU rRNA". It matches the Rfam family "Bacterial small subunit ribosomal RNA", at positions 8 to 794 of the family's 1533-position model. The record is from RNAcentral.
AGAGUUUGAUCCUGGCUCAGGAUGAACGCUAGCGACAGGCUUAACACAUGCAAGUCGAGGGGCAGCCCGGGAGUAGCAAUACAACUGGUGGCGACCGGCGCACGGGUGAGUAACGCGUAUGCAACCUACCUAUCAGAGGGGAAUAACUCGGCGAAAGUCGGACUAAUACCGCAUAAAACAGGGGCACCGCAUGGUGAUAUUUGUUAAAGAAAUUCGCUGAUAGAUGGGCAUGCGUUCCAUUAGGUAGUUGGUGAGGUAACGGCUCACCAAGCCGACGAUGGAUAGGGGAACUGAGAGGUUGGUCCCCCACACUGGUACUGAGACACGGACCAGACUCCUACGGGAGGCAGCAGUGAGGAAUAUUGGUCAAUGGGCGGGAGCCUGAACCAGCCAAGUCGCGUGAAGGAAGAAGGAUCUAUGGUUCGUAAACUUCUUUUGCAGGGGAAUAAAGUGCAGGACGUGUCCUGUUUUGUAUGUACCCUGAGAAUAAGGAUCGGCUAACUCCGUGCCAGCAGCCGCGGUAAUACGGAGGAUCCGAGCGUUAUCCGGAUUUAUUGGGUUUAAAGGGUGCGUAGGUGGUUUGAUAAGUCAGCGGUGAAAGUUUGCAGCUUAACUGUAAAAAUGCCGUUGAAACUGUCGGACUUGAGUGUAAAUGAGGUAGGCGGAAUGCGUGGUGUAGCGGUGAAAUGCAUAGAUAUCACGCAGAACUCCGAUUGCGAAGGCAGCUUACUAAGCUACAACUGACACUGAAGCACGAAAGCGUGGGGAUCAAACAGGAUUAGAUACCCCGGUAGU